Molecule: long non-coding RNA, 1000 nt
Filed under: Rhinopithecus roxellana (golden snub-nosed monkey)
Lineage: Eukaryota; Metazoa; Chordata; Mammalia; Primates; Cercopithecidae
Description: lncRNA (ENSRROG00000045984.1)
Source: RNAcentral
GCUCAUGUGUCUAGGCGAUCAUCUUAGGUUUCUGUCUUUUUCUGUGUGUGUAAUACUUCGAAAUUUUAGAACGUUAAAAACAAAAGAGAUAUGUAUCCAAAAACAAAUGCCUUGUGCAAACAUUGAGGACUUUGUUUGGUGACCUGGGGAACAAAGCCCCUUUUUGGACUUAAUGCAGAAUAGGAAUCUCAUCGUUGGUUCCUCUGCGCUGCUUUCCAGCUAACCCGUAUCUAAACAUGACAGAUAAAGUUGUUUACACAUUUAAUCAGUUUGAGAAACUCUACUGGGCUGCAGAUGAGGUGUAAAGGAAGAAACUUCUUCCAGAGAAUAUAUUCAUGACUCCUCUUUGUUUAUCCAAUGAUUCAAGGCUCAUCCACUGCAGAGUUCAACAGGAUUUAUGGAGGGCCUCUCUCGACAUUUAAUUUUAAACCUAAUUUUAAAACCUGGAGAAAAGAAAUCUGUCAAAGUAAAGUUUACACCAGUUCACAACAGAACUGUUUCUUCACUUGUCAUCGUCAGAAAUAACCUGACUGUGAUGGAUGCUGUGAUGGUCCAAGGACAAGGAACAACUGAGAACUUGAGGGUGGCAGGCAAGCUUCCAGGUCCAGGAAGUUCCUUGCGCUUUAAAAUCACGGAAGCCUUGUUAAAAGAUUGUACAGAUAGUUUAAAACUAAGAGAACCAAAUUUCACAUUGAAAAGAACAUUUAAGGUAGAGAAUACAGGACAACUUCAAAUUCACAUAGAAACCAUUGAAAUCAGUGGAUACUCCUGUGAAGGAUAUGGCUUUAAAGUGGUUAAUUGUCAAGAGUUUGUUCUAAGUGCCAAUGCCUCUAGAGAUAUCAUCAUCUUGUAAGUAUUUUAUUUUAAGCUAUAAUGAAUCAUUAACUUUCUAUACUAGAGCUGCUCAAACUCUAUGCAAAGAUAUGUUUUCAUGUUUCCCAAAAGUCUUUAUCCACAAAUGUAUUCAUUUGAUUUUUUUUUUCCACUUAAUCUUUGGCUA